RNAcentral lists this transfer RNA (111 nucleotides) under Xenopus laevis (African clawed frog). It matches the Rfam family "tRNA". From Rfam's summary of the family: Transfer RNA (tRNA) molecules are approximately 80 nucleotides in length. Their secondary structure includes four short double-helical elements and three loops (D, anti-codon, and T loops). Further hydrogen bonds mediate the characteristic L-shaped molecular structure. tRNAs have two regions of fundamental functional importance: the anti-codon, which is responsible for specific mRNA codon recognition, and the 3' end, to which the tRNAs corresponding amino acid is attached (by aminoacyl-tRNA synthetases). tRNAs cope with the degeneracy of the genetic code in two manners: having more than one tRNA (with a specific anti-codon) for a particular amino acid; and 'wobble' base-pairing, i.e. permitting non-standard base-pairing at the 3rd anti-codon position. Lineage: Eukaryota; Metazoa; Chordata; Amphibia; Anura; Pipidae. The record is from Rfam by way of RNAcentral.
GUCAGGAUGGCCGAGUGGUCUAAGGCGCCAGACUCAAGGUCUAAACUCCUUCCCUGCAAUGGGUGUUCUGGUCUCCGAAUGGAGGCGUGGGUUCAAAUCCCACUUCUGACA